GACCGGCCACACUGGGACUGAGACACGGCCCAGACUCCUGCGGGAGGCAGCAGUGGGGAAUAUUGCGCAAUGGGCGAAAGCCUGACGCAGCGACGCCGCGUGGGGGAUGACGGCCUUCGGGUUGUAAACCUCUUUUACCACUCACGCAGGCUCCACGUUUUCGUGGGGUUGACGGUAGGUGGGGAAUAAGGACCGGCUAACUACGUGCCAGCAGCCGCGGUAAUACGUAGGGUCCGAGCGUUGUCCGGAAUUAUUGGGCGUAAAGAGCUCGUAGGCGGCGUGUCGCGUCUGCUGUGAAAGACCGGGGCUUAACCCCGGUUCUGCAGUGGAUACGGGCAUGCUAGAGGUAGGUAGGGGACACUGGAAUUCCUGGUGUAGCGGUGAAAUGCCCAGAUAUCAGGAGGAACACCGGUGGCGAAGGCGGGUCUCUGGGCCUUACCUGACGCUGACGAU
Molecule: ribosomal RNA, 453 nt
Filed under: Nocardiopsis sp. MSI-A 01
Lineage: Bacteria; Bacillati; Actinomycetota; Actinomycetes; Streptosporangiales; Nocardiopsidaceae
Description: bacterial SSU rRNA
Rfam family: Bacterial small subunit ribosomal RNA
Source: RNAcentral